Cyprinus carpio (common carp) is the source of this 1003-nucleotide long non-coding RNA. The record is from Ensembl. NCBI's taxonomy places the organism in Eukaryota, Metazoa, Chordata, Actinopteri, Cypriniformes, Cyprinidae.
AUCGUAAUAACAUUUUGCAAGAUUACUGUUUUUUUCUCUUUCUGUAUUCCUGAUCAAAUAAAUGCAGCCUUGAUGAGCAGAAGAGACUGUACAAGUCUUACUGAUCCCAGACCUUUGACCGGUCGUGUAUAUAUACGUGAGCACAAACCCGGUGCGUCACUGAUCAGAACACAUGUUAAGUCUUGUUUGCUUCACAGGUUGCUGGCUCGAAAGCUGGUGUGGUGCGUUUCUUGGGCGUGACGGAUUUUGCGAAGGGAGAGUGGUGUGGAGUGGAGCUGGACGAGCCCUUGGGAAAGAACGACGGCGCUGUGGCGGGAACCAGGUAUUUCCACUGUCAGGCCAAGCAUGGUCUGUUCGCACCGGUGCACAAGGUGACCCGGAUAGGUUUUCCCUCCACCACCCCGGCCAAGGCAAAGAGCACUGUGCGGAAAACAUCCACCCCGCCGUCAGGCCUGAAGCGCAGCCCCAGCGCCUCCUCCAUCAGCUCCAUCAGCUCCGUGGCCUCGUCUGCUGGUUGCAAGCCCAGCCAAACAGGACUGCUGACGGAGACGUCCACACAGUAUGCGAGGAAGAUCUCCGGCACCACGGCACUGCAGGAGGCGCUGAAGGAGAAGCAGCAGCACAUCGAGCAGCUCCUCGCCGAGCGCCACCUGGAGAGAGCGGAGGUUGCCAAGGCGACCAGCCACGUGGGAGAAGUGGAGCAGGAGCUGAGCUUACUGAGAGAAGGCCAGGAGCAGGUGAGAGCCAGCCUGCCCUCGUCUGUCUCGGUGUAAUACGUGUCCAGUAAGAAUAAUAGAGAAUGAGCUGUUGAAGUAUAGAAGAGCAGUGCACUGCACUCCAGCCCCAGCACAAAGUGGGGUUUUUAUUCUGUUAUUCUCUAUAACCUCAAGUAGAGGUGGCCGGUACAAAUCCUUAUUUCACAGUAUGAGAGAUUUAGUUUUUCGCGAUCUUAAAGGGACAGCAGCCUAAUAAAGCUGUUCGUCUGUCAUUAAUGUUGAUCGAA